AGUAGUGAAGUAAAAUUACAUUUAGCUUCGACCUAAAAAUAAGAGGAAGUAACCUCCUUACUU
This 63-nucleotide transfer RNA is filed under the name Hospesneotomae protracta (western bloodsucking conenose). RNAcentral's name for it is "Triatoma protracta (western bloodsucking conenose) tRNA-Arg". The record is from RNAcentral. Lineage: Eukaryota; Metazoa; Arthropoda; Insecta; Hemiptera; Reduviidae.